Molecule: ribosomal RNA, 620 nt
Filed under: Bacillus sp. I12B-00710
Lineage: Bacteria; Bacillati; Bacillota; Bacilli; Caryophanales; Bacillaceae
Also listed under: 2 other names
Description: bacterial SSU rRNA
Rfam family: Bacterial small subunit ribosomal RNA
Source: RNAcentral
UUAGCGGCGGACGGGUGAGUAACACGUGGGUAACCUGCCUGUAAGACUGGGAUAACUCCGGGAAACCGGAGCUAAUACCGGAUAGUUCCUUGAACCGCAUGGUUCAAGGAUGAAAGACGGUUUCGGCUGUCACUUACAGAUGGACCCGCGGCGCAUUAGCUAGUUGGUGGGGUAAUGGCUCACCAAGGCGACGAUGCGUAGCCGACCUGAGAGGGUGAUCGGCCACACUGGGACUGAGACACGGCCCAGACUCCUACGGGAGGCAGCAGUAGGGAAUCUUCCGCAAUGGACGAAAGUCUGACGGAGCAACGCCGCGUGAGUGAUGAAGGUUUUCGGAUCGUAAAGCUCUGUUGUUAGGGAAGAACAAGUGCGAGAGUAACUGCUCGCACCUUGACGGUACCUAACCAGAAAGCCACGGCUAACUACGUGCCAGCAGCCGCGGUAAUACGUAGGUGGCAAGCGUUGUCCGGAAUUAUUGGGCGUAAAGGGCUCGCAGGCGGUUUCUUAAGUCUGAUGUGAAAGCCCCCGGCUCAACCGGGGAGGGUCAUUGGAAACUGGGAAACUUGAGUGCAGAAGAGGAGAGUGGAAUUCCACGUGUAGCGGUGAAAUGCGUAGAGAUG